Molecule: long non-coding RNA, 339 nt
Filed under: Pongo abelii (Sumatran orangutan)
Lineage: Eukaryota; Metazoa; Chordata; Mammalia; Primates; Hominidae
Description: lincRNA
Source: RNAcentral
ACCGGGGCGGGCCACCGGACCCCUGAGCUUAGUAACCGGAAGAUUUGAGAAAGGCGCGCGGCGGGCAAGGAUCACAGAAAGAGUGGAGAACUGGUGCCACUCGGACACCUUAGCUCGCUGAGAGAAAUGGAGACGGCCUCCAGGACAUCUUAGGACCCUGGCUGAUUCCGAGAAUCACAAAUCACAUCUCUGAAAAAAGUGAGAAGUUCAUUCUUUCAUUCAGUGCAAAAAAUGUUUACCGAACACCUACUAUGUGCCAGACACAACUGAGAUGCUGGUGAUAUGAUGCAGACAAAGUAGGCUCAGAUCCCUGGCUGGGAAGAAUUCACGUACUAUUUA